CGUUCGAGACAUUGGUUUCUCGCUGGUGGAGGUGCGAAAGCUUCUUUAGCAGUGGGUUUCGCUUGCGGCAGUGGCGCCUUUGCAGUGAAGUCGCGUUCACACCACAACGGCGACUUGCUUUCCCUUUCAUGGCUAUUGCGUUUCUAGUUUUCUUGCAGGUCUGGGUGGUUCGUUCCAAAUACUAUGUCGCGCCAGAUUUCAACAGUAGAUCGAUCGUCCUGUCCGCGCUGAACAUCGCCCCUCGGACCUCCCA
RNAcentral lists this long non-coding RNA (253 nucleotides) under Vigna radiata. RNAcentral's name for it is "long non-coding RNA (VRAD_LNC015983)". The record is from RNAcentral. Lineage: Eukaryota; Viridiplantae; Streptophyta; Magnoliopsida; Fabales; Fabaceae.